CCUACGGGAGGCAGUAGUGAGGAAUAUUGGUCAAUGGCCGGAAGGCUGAACCAGCCAAGCCGCGUGAAGGACGAAGGUGCCAAGCAUUGUAAACUUCUUUUGUCAAGGGACAAAAUCAGGCUCGAGAGCCUGACCGAGGGGACUUGAAGAAAAAGCAUCGGCUAACUCCGUGCCAGCAGCCGCGGUAAUACGGAGGAUGCGAGCGUUAUCCGGAUUUAGUGGGGUUAAAGGGUUCGUAGGCGGACUGUUAAGUCAGCGGUAAAAGCCCGGGGCUCAACCCCGGCGAGCCGUUGAAACUGGCAGUCUUGAGUUGGCGAGAGGUAUGCGGAAUGCGUAGUGUAGCGGUGAAAUGCAUAGAUAUUGCGCAGAACGCCGAUUGCGAAGGCAGCAUACCGGCGGCGAUCUGACGCUGAGGCACGAAAGCGUGGGUAUCGAACAGGAUUAGAUACCCCUGUAGUC
RNAcentral lists this ribosomal RNA (459 nucleotides) under uncultured bacterium. RNAcentral's name for it is "partial 16S ribosomal RNA". It matches the Rfam family "Bacterial small subunit ribosomal RNA", at positions 338 to 795 of the family's 1533-position model. The record is from RNAcentral.